GAAUUAGUAAACCUGCCCACAGCGCAGGGGAUGGAGGGGAUGCGCCCCAACUCCACCGGCUCCCCAGCACAAGCUCUCUCUCCCAAAGUGCAGCGAACAUCUGUGACUCUAAUGAGGUCAUCAUCGAGGGUGUCCAGAGAGCUGGGCCCUGAGAACCAAACUCGACUGCCUUGGCCCGGACACGGAGAGGUCCUGGGAUGACAAAUAUCAAGUGGGAAAGGACUUUGAAGCUCACCCAGUCCAAACUUCUUAUUCUACAGAUGUC
Molecule: long non-coding RNA, 265 nt
Organism: Dromiciops gliroides (monito del monte)
Lineage: Eukaryota; Metazoa; Chordata; Mammalia; Microbiotheria; Microbiotheriidae
Exons: 3
Source: RefSeq, a predicted model, not a curated record